RNAcentral lists this ribosomal RNA (433 nucleotides) under uncultured bacterium. RNAcentral describes it as "bacterial SSU rRNA". It matches the Rfam family "Bacterial small subunit ribosomal RNA", at positions 29 to 507 of the family's 1533-position model. The record is from RNAcentral.
AACGAACGCUGCCGGCAUGCAUAAUACAUGCAAGUCGAACGAUCACUUCGGUGGUAGUGGCGCACGGCUGCGUAACGCGUGGGAAUCUGCCCUUGGGUUCGGAAUAACAGUUGGAAACGACUGCUAAUACCGGAUGAUGACGUAAGUCCAAAGAUUUAUCGCCCAAGGAUGAGCCCGCGUAGGAUUAGCUAGUUGGUGAGGUAAAGGCUCACCAAGGCUACGAUCCUUAGCUGGUCUGAGAGGAUGAUCAGCCACACUGGGACUGAGACACGGCCCAGACUCCUACGGGAGGCAGCAGUAGGGAAUAUUGGACAAUGGGGGCACCCCUGAUCCAGCAAUGCCGCGUGAGUGAUGAAGGCCUUAGGGUUGUAAAGCUCUUUUACCCGAGAUGAUAAUGACAGUAUCGGGAGAAUAAGCUCCGGCUAACUCCGUG